UAUGGCCAUAUCAUGUUGAAACACAGGUUCUUCUCUGAUCACCAAAGUUCAUCAAUCUCGAGCCUGAUCAGUACCUAGAUGGGUGAAUGUUUGGGAAUACAAGGUGCUGUAA
Acanthosepion pharaonis is the source of this 112-nucleotide non-coding RNA. The record is from the annotation of a GenBank genome assembly. NCBI's taxonomy places the organism in Eukaryota, Metazoa, Mollusca, Cephalopoda, Sepiida, Sepiidae.